Molecule: ribosomal RNA, 253 nt
Filed under: uncultured bacterium
Lineage: Bacteria
Description: partial 16S ribosomal RNA
Rfam family: Bacterial small subunit ribosomal RNA
Source: RNAcentral
UACAGAGGUGGCAAGCGUUGUUCGGAAUUACUGGGCGUAAAGGGCGCGUAGGCGGCCAUCUAAGUCAGACGUGAAAUCCCCCGGCUUAACCUGGGAACUGCGUCUGAUACUGGAAGGCUUGAGUAUGGGAGAGGGAUGUAGAAUUCCAGGUGUAGCGGUGAAAUGCGUAGAUAUCUGGAGGAACACCGGUGGCGAAGGCGGCAUCCUGGACCGAGAUUGACGCUGAGACGCGAAAGCGUGGGGAGCAAACAGG